CGCCUUGCCAGCCCGCUCAGAAACUCAAAGGAAUUGACGGGGGCCCGCACAAGCGGAGGAGCAUGUGGUUUAAUUCGAUGAUACGCGAGGAACCUUACCUGGGCUCGAACGUAAGAUGACUGUAGGUGAAAGCUUACAUCUCUUCGGAGCAUUUUACGAGGUGCUGCAUGGUUGUCGUCAGCUCGUGCCGUGAGGUGUCGGGUUAAGUCCCAUAACGAGCGCAACCCCUACCUUUAGUUGCCAUCAGGUAAUGCUGGGGACUCUAAAGGAACUGCCUACGCAAGUAGUGAGGAAGGCGGGGAUGACGUCAAAUCAGCACGGCCCUUACGUCCAGGGCUACACACGUGCUACAAUGGCCGGUACAAAGGGCAGCUACCUGGUGACAGGAUGCUAAUCUCAAAAGCCGGUCUCAGUUCGGAUCGGAGUCUGCAACCCGACUCCGUGAAACUGGAAUCGCUAGUAAUCGCGCAUCAGCCAUGGCGCGGUGAAUACGUUCCCGGGCCUU
RNAcentral lists this ribosomal RNA (505 nucleotides) under uncultured Sphingobacteriales bacterium. RNAcentral describes it as "bacterial SSU rRNA". It matches the Rfam family "Bacterial small subunit ribosomal RNA", at positions 903 to 1382 of the family's 1533-position model. The record is from RNAcentral. Lineage: Bacteria; Pseudomonadati; Bacteroidota; Sphingobacteriia; Sphingobacteriales.